Molecule: non-coding RNA, 207 nt
Organism: Oryza glaberrima (African rice)
Lineage: Eukaryota; Viridiplantae; Streptophyta; Magnoliopsida; Poales; Poaceae
Source: Rfam
AAAAAAAAAAACUCUACGUUUCCGUGUCCAAUAUUUAACCGUCCGUCUUAUUUAAAAAAAAUAUAAAAAAAUUAAAAAGACAAGUCACGCAUAAAGUAUUAAUCAUGUUUUAUCAUCUAACAACAAUGAAAAUACUGAUUAUAAAAAAAAAUUUAUAUAAGACGGACAGUCAAACGUUGGACACGGAAACUCAGGGUUUGUCUUUUU